RNAcentral lists this ribosomal RNA (44 nucleotides) under Platygyra sinensis. RNAcentral's name for it is "partial 28S ribosomal RNA". The record is from RNAcentral. RNAcentral also lists the same sequence under 17 other names. Lineage: Eukaryota; Metazoa; Cnidaria; Anthozoa; Scleractinia; Merulinidae.
GACCUCAGAUCAGGCAAGGCUACCCGCUGAAUUUAAGCAUAUCA